GAAGAUCCGGCGCAGCUAAAGUCAGUGGAAGGUAGAAAGACGCCACAGCCGCCUUUCGACAACUUUUUGUUACAAAAGUGGAGAUCUACACGGAGGCGACGGCCUAGGUCGCUCUGACAGGACCCAACGACCCUCCUGACGCGUCCACCCGUCCUCGCUAGCAGGGUCCCCCAGCGGGCUCUCGACCUGCGCCACCAGAGUUCCACUCUUUUUGUCGACAAUAAUAUGGCGCCCAAACACGUGGGGCCUCAGAGAAGACUCUGGAUCCGGAAGGAGUAUCCCAAAACCAGAGCUAAGGUACCAGCUGGAGCCCACUGAAGCCUCACCGAGUUUGGGCUUCUCCUCCUGUGGAACUGGAAACCAAAAUCAUGGUAUUUUGAAAACCAGAGGUAUGAAUCUCCCUCGUUUGGCAUCCCACUGGGCCUGGACCUGUUUCACUGCUAAUGUUCUGCUGCCAAAACUAUACAAGCUGCCUGGACUAUUGCAGAAGAGAGACAGAGUCUUGCUCUGUUGCCCAGAAUGGAAUGCAGUAGCACAAUCCUAACUAAUCGUAACCUUGAACUCCUGGGUUCAAGCGAUCCUCCUGCCUCAGCCUCCUCAGUAUAGGACUACAGGCGUGCCCAGUUCAAAGUACCAACCUGGAGAAAAUGCCCUGGAUUUGGAAGCAAAGUAUUGAAUGUUGGAAGUCUGAAUAAAGGAAUCAUACACUGUAUGUGCACCUGAAUGUACUUUACAAGCAUCAGUAGAACACUUCUGAUUGAAGCUUGGUCUUAUGAAGAUAAAAAUUUUAUGUGGACCACAGAUUCUCUAAAAAUCAAUGCUUCCUGUCCUCAAACAUCGGACUCCAAAUUCUUCAGCUUUGGGACGGACUGGCUUCCUUGCUCCUCAGCUUGCAGACAGCCGACUGUGGGACCUUGUGAUCAUAAUACCACAGUCUGGAGGCUAUGAAGUCCAUGAUUAAGAAGCCAGCACGUUUGCUUUCUGGUUCCAAGAUGGCAUACCUUUUUGCUGCUUCCUCCAGAGAGGAGGAACACUGUGUUCUCACAUAGUAGAAGAUGGAAGGAGCAGAUGCAGAUGAGCAUGGCAAUGUGAGAAUAUGUCAGAGGCCCCAGGAUGAAAUGAGCUCAAGUCCCUGAAAUCCCUGUUAGAAGAGUCUUUCCACUGGUUGGGAAUGCUAAUUGUAUUUUGACAACUCAAUGUUUCAGCAACUCAAAAUGUUACAGCUUCUGCAUUGGAAUAAAAAAAGGAAAGAAAACAGAAUUUGUACUCAUAUCAGAAGGCAAUCAAAGAACAUACACAUAAUAUACAUUCUAUUAUAGAGGGAGAUGAAGAAGAAGUAUGGAAGAAGUAAGAUGAAGAAGAAGUAUGGAAGAAGUAAGUUGUCUGUGUAACCUCAUUCUUCCUGGACAUGGGACAAGAACUUGGGACCCGCUGAAUGAUGGGAGCAAAAGGAGCUGUAUCAUGUUCCUGGCCAGCUGGCUAAACUGCAGAUGGUGACAUGCUCCCAGACUGUGGGAGUGAAGAGUGGCAACCCUUCUGGCGGCCCAGACCUUAGCAUUUCCCAGGCAGAGCUGCUGUAAAACUGUAUCCCUCUUGCUCUUUGCUGGCACCAGGCGACUGGCCCACACAAUGGGAAGCAACAGUGGGGCCAGGCCAGCCCAGGAGGUGUGGGCCAGAGUGGGGUGGUGGGACUGAAAAAGCUGUUAGACAAAUGGGCUGAAACAUGCCCCAACUCUUGCCAUGCUGCAAGGGUUGAGGAGGGAAGAGCUGUCACCCUGCUGGGAUCCCAGAACUCAGGGCUCCCCAAGCCAGGAAUGUGCCAUGCUGUAACACCCUCUUUGGGGCUCUGGGGUUCCUGGUGUCUCCAAGCUUUUGAGUGUCACUGCAUUCUCUUUGUCAAGAUGCUGGUGCCCGCAGCAGAAGCUGCUUAUUGUACGUGUGGUCCAGCCACAGCCUUGCACAGAGCUGGCACCUGUGCUGGUGCCUGAAGCUGCCCCCCCGCUACAGAAAUGAGAAUUCCUGGCUGAGCACAGUGGCCAGACCUGUGCUUGCUUGCUUACACACCUUUUGCCCCUCCGUGCCUGGCUUGCCCUUUAGCAGGCAUGGGAUCCGGGCCAGAAGCAUGAACCAAGUGCAGCCUGCUGGGCUGAGUGGGCUGAACAAGCCAGCCAGUGUGAGUAAAACUCAAGCAGAGGUGCCACCAGCUCUAGAGGUUUCCAGUUGGUGAAGCGACACUCUAAGGAUCCUGUGACCCUCUCUCUCUUGAUGAUCUGAAAUUUCCAUCUCCAUGUAAUUAAAAAUAUAAAAAUACAUCCCAAUAACUUUAAUUUUGGCAGGUUAUGAAUGUGAAAUUAGGGCAUGGUGGCAUGCUCUUGUAAUCCUAGUAGCAUUUUGGAAGGCUGAGGCCACAAGUUCAAGGCUGCAGUGCGGAUUAAUUAUGAGCUCCUAAAUGAUAAAAUUACUGUUGUUAACCGUUAGAGAUGUUGGUAAUUACUAGCUAUGUUGAAAGAAUGACUAAAAAUGCAUUAAGCAUGAAAUCAUUAUUAAGCUCAAAUGGGGCAUAUUUAAAAGAGGAAACAUAGACAUCAAAAUAAAGAAAAGAUGUAGUUGAUAUGUCUUAAAUUUGCUUUUAGUUUUGUAUGUUUUCCUUUUGAAAUGAUAAAAAUAUAUCCAAUAAAUAAAGUUGAUAACUCUCCUUUGCUUUUGUCAUAUAUAAUAAUUUUUCCAGAUAAACAGUUUGAUUGUGCAAAUACCAUAGAAUUCUAGGCAGUGAAUCAAUUUAUUCAGGUUUCAUUUUAAAAUGCUUUGUUAGUAUAAGACAGGUAAUAUAUACUUGUGUAUUUUUUCCUCCUUUGUGUCAAGAGCUGUAUAACUGAUUAAUUGUGCUAAUUUAUUAGCUUUAGAACCAUGCAGAAAGAAGAGUGCUUCACAGAAUGAUUGCUUUAUGAAGCAUAAGGAGAAACAGAUGAACAUGUGAACAGUGAAAGAUCUUUUCCAUGGAACUGUGUUCAUCCUCUGAUUAAAACGAAUUGUGUAAAGUUGUAUAUUGUAUUUCACCCUUAGCAUUUGGAAAUGUGCAUGUAAUUUUGGUUUUGGUGCUUCAUUACAAUAAUGCGUAGAAAGAAAAAAGGUAUUUAUAGAAUAUUGCAAAAGCAAAUUUGUAGGAUAAAAUAUGUCUGGCCAUGUGUAUUAGAUACUAGUUAACUCAUAUCAUUACUUCAUUGGUACUUCACUAAAUUAUGUCACAAAAGCAAAUACAGGAUUUUCCAGAGCAUGCUUUUGGAAAAAUCUGAAGUUUUAUUGAGGACUCAUUAAUUUUCCCUGUCCCAUAACUUACAAUUUAUUUCACAAGCAUUAUAAACUUCAGAUCAUUCAGAUAUUGCAUUUUAGUAUUGUAAAUUAUAAGAAUAGAUUUAGAAUGCAUACUUUUUGAGGAUAGGUUGCUUUCCUUAAUGAAAGUAUCAUAUUUUUAGUUUACAGUGAAAUUUAAAGAAUGGUUUAUUAUUUGAGCUACAAUUGCAAAAACUUUAGAUAAUACAUUUAAACUUGGCAUUAGAAAGAAAAAAACUUUCUAAAUAGAAAAACUUUUCAACUUUUCUAUUUUUCAACUAGAAAUUUAUACAGUUAGAAUGUUUUUAAAGAAAAAGUUUUAUCUGUAAGGGAAGUGCUUACUGCCAACAUAUUUCACCAAAGCUUAAAUUCUCAAGAGGACAUGUCAUCCUUAUAAGCAAACCAUUCUGAUUACAUCAAUCACAUUAUAUUACCUUGGGUGACUGACUUGCAUGAGAAACCAGCAGUUGUGACUUGAAUUGCAAUAUGCAAGACAGUAAAAACCAUAUUUUACUUUAAAAUAUAUUAAUGUAUUACUUUUCCUAAUAAAAUACAUUGAAAAUUUUUAUCAGUAGCCAGGAAAUUAUAGAACUAGGCAGUUGUAUUCCUGAAGCACUUUCAGUGUUCAUGAUAAUUAAUUUGAGAAGUAGACUCUUAUCACACAGUAGCAUCUGUUGAACAUUCUUGUUUUUGGUAAAAUUAAUUUCUGACUGAUUCAUGAAAUAAAUGAUAAGGAACAUAAAUUCAGCUCUUUACUGUAUGACUCAUGUAACCUAUGACUUUUUGGGGGAAGUUUCACAUAAUGGGAAUACAUUAAGAAAUGUUUUAAAUAAAAACACAUAUAACUAA
Molecule: long non-coding RNA, 4179 nt
Filed under: Homo sapiens (human)
Lineage: Eukaryota; Metazoa; Chordata; Mammalia; Primates; Hominidae
Description: long independently transcribed non-coding RNA 2718, transcript variant 2 (LINC02718)
Source: RNAcentral